Mercenaria mercenaria is the source of this 2006-nucleotide long non-coding RNA. RefSeq lists it as uncharacterized. The transcript has 3 exons. The record is from RefSeq and is a predicted model, not a curated record. Lineage: Eukaryota; Metazoa; Mollusca; Bivalvia; Venerida; Veneridae.
UUGAGUUUAAACAAGUAUUUUCUUUGAUAUGACCUAGUGACCUUGUUUUUGACCCCAGGUGACCCAUAUUCAAACUCGACCUAGAUUUCAUCAAGGCAAUCAUUCUUACCAAAUUUCAUGAAGAUCAAUUGAAAAAUACAGCUUCUAUCGCAUACACAAUGUUUUUCUUUGAUUUGACCUAGUGACCUAAUUUUUAAUCCUAGAUGACCCAUAUUCAGGUUCGAACUAGAUUUCAUCAAGGCAAUCAUUCUGACCAAAUUUCAUGAAGAUCAAUUGAAAAAUACAGCCUCUAUCACAUACACAAUGUUUUUCUUUGAUUUGACCUAGUGACUAGUUUUUGAUCCCAGAUAACCCAUAUUCGAACCUGUCCUAGAAUUUAUCAAGGUUAUCAUUCUGGCAAAAUUUCAUAAGAUCAGUUGAAAAAUACAGCCUCUAUCGCAUACACAAUGUUUUUCUUUCAAUUGACAUAAUGACCUAGUUUUUGAUCCCAGAUGACCCAUUUUCGAACAUGGCUUAGAUUUGAUCAAUGUAAUCAUUCUGACCAAAAUUAAUGAAGAUCAAUUGAAAAAUACAGCCUCUAUCGCAUACACAAGGUUUUUUAUUUGACCUAGUGUCCUAGUUUUUGACCCCAGAUGACCCAUUUUUAAACUUGGCCUAGAUUUCAUCAAGGUCGUCAUUCUGACCAGAUUUCAUGAAACUCAAUUGAAAAAUACAGCCUAUAUCACAUACACAAGCUAAAUGUUGACAUACAGCAGACGCCGGCAUCGAGUGAUUACAAGAACUCGCCUGAGCAUUGCUCAGGUGAGCUAAAACUGUAUACUAUAUACUAAGCAUUGUGAAUUGGAAUCCAAUUUAAUUUGCAAGCUGCUGUGAGGCAUUAUCUAUAGACAAGAAAUGAUGAACAGUGUUGGUCAGUGUUGAUUCAUUCCAUUUUUGAUGAGAACUUGAAUACAUUUCUUAUAAACUGUUUUUGUUUUUUAGGCUCUCAGAUUUUCUACCUAGUGUAUGAAAAGUACACAAGAAUUGGAUAAAAAUCGAUACUAUUAUCUACCCUUGUUUAUUAAGAUCAACGCUAUACACAGUUGUCUCCCUGCUGUUGGAAGCGGAGCAAACAGUGUAGUAUCUAUGGUCCACCAUCACUUCCAGCAUCAUGGCUAUGGAGAAAAGAAUGUUUCAUCACAUAUGGACAAUUACAGUGGACAAAAUAAGAACAGUGACUAUGCUGAAAUAAGUUAUGGAAUGUGGCGUGUUAUGAAGGGUCCACAUGAUUGAAGUACAGCCUGAUGGAAGCCGGGCAUACAAAAUUCAGUCCUGAUUGGCUUUUUGGCCUGUGGAAGAAUGUCUUCUGCACAACCUGGUAUAGUAUUCAUGAAGAUUAAUAACUUCAACAUAGAGACAGAGAUUAAUAUUCUUAGACAGGGGGUUGGUAUGACAGGCGAAUUCCCCAACGGUAUUACCAUUUCUGAGCUGGAUGCCAGUCAACAGUGGUACCUGUAUAAUGAAAUAGCGCCCCUUUGCAACGUUACAGCAGUGUGUGCUCAAAACCAGCAGUGCCAAAGCCAUUAAAAUUGAAAACUCAGUCAUUUAAAAUGAAGAAUGAUUGAAAAAAAGUGUUUUUUGAAAGUGUUUUUGAUCUUUUUUUAAGGUGUACUAGACCCAAAUUUCAUAAUUUUAAAUAUGAACAAAUGCUACAUAUAGAUUAUGUAAACAUUGGAUUAACAAGUUUAUGUGUGUCAACAGUACUAUGCAUUGGUUAAAUAUAGAACACACUGUAUACAUGUAAGGCUGAACACAGUAUAAAUGUGAAAUUCCUCUAAAACACUGGAAGAUUUUUAAACAAUUGACUGUGACUGCAUGACAUUAAAUUAUGAAUGUACAUGUAGCUCUAAAAUCUAUUAUAAGUCCACAAGAAAGUCUUUACCAAGUAGAGAUAGGUCAAAAUAAACCUAAAAAUUCGAUGUAACAUAUAUGUUGUACCAUGUUGAGGUCUCUAUUUUUCCCUAUGG